GAGUUUGAUCUUGGCUCAGAUUGAACGCUGGCGGCAUGCCUUACACAUGCAAGUCGAACGGCAGCAUGAUCUAGCUUGCUAGAUUGAUGGCGAGUGGCGAACGGGUGAGUAAUACAUCGGAACGUGCCCUGUAGUGGGGAUAACUAGUCGAAAGAUUAGCUAAUACCGCAUACGACCUGAGGGUGAAAGUGGGGGACCGCAAGGCCUCAUGCUAUAGGAGCGGCCGGAUGUCUGAUUAGCUAGUUGGUGGGGU
This 253-nucleotide ribosomal RNA is filed under the name uncultured microorganism. Its description in RNAcentral is "partial 16S ribosomal RNA". It matches the Rfam family "Bacterial small subunit ribosomal RNA", at positions 9 to 258 of the family's 1533-position model. The record is from RNAcentral.